GUUGGGUCAUUUUAUUGGGUUAAUUUUAAUAUUGUUUUACCCAGGUGCUGGGUAAUUUUUACAGUCAAUACAAAUGAUGUACCCCCUCACAUACCCAGCGCUGGGUCAGUGUAACCCAAUGUUGGGUAGUCUGUGACAAACUGGUUAAAACUGGAUAUGUUUGUCAGUGGUCAUUUUGUGUUCUGUCCUAACUCCUAAGAGAAACUUGACUGACGGGAAACUUUCUGAAUGGAAUUAAGCUAACAUCUGCUUGGAACUCUAGCCUUCUACAAACACAGCAUUCAUUGGAUCUACACUCAAAGUGAACGUCGCCCCGGUGCCACCACGGAAGUUUCACCUCCAGUCAAACUAAUGCUCGACCAGGGCUGAAACACGACGCUACUUCACUGUUAUAUGUAACAAAGUUUCUGUGUGCUCCACUGACUACAACAGGAGUGCUAUUGAUCUAGUGUGCCAUUGUUGCAGCUGUGGUCGCACUGUGUUUGACGGGUUGAAACUUAAAUGUCGGACAGACAAGAUGGCACGAGAUUCCCAUUGGCUGCUCCUGUCACGUCCCACUACCUUUACUGAAUGUUUUUGAAGAUUUCAUGAUUGUAAAAGACUGACUUGACAUUGAACAAAAAAUAUUCUAUAUGAACUGUUCUUGUCCUAUAUAAAACAGAUUUUAAAUUACAUUUUUGUUAUUUAAAAUGAAAAACCUUCAAUAGGUUGACUGACCCAGCACUAUGUCAAAAAAACAACCCAGUAAAUGGGUUAAUGUAUAAAACCCAACUAGCUGGGUCAAAAUAACCCAGCAUCUGUUCUGUCUAAUAUUUACCCAGUGCUGGGUUGCCAAAUAACCCAGAAUUGUUUUUUUUUUAACCCAGCAUUUUUCUUAGAGUGUAUAUUCAUGCCU
Sinocyclocheilus anshuiensis is the source of this 895-nucleotide long non-coding RNA. RefSeq lists it as uncharacterized. The record is from RefSeq and is a predicted model, not a curated record. The transcript has 3 exons. Lineage: Eukaryota; Metazoa; Chordata; Actinopteri; Cypriniformes; Cyprinidae.